RNAcentral lists this ribosomal RNA (608 nucleotides) under uncultured bacterium. RNAcentral's name for it is "bacterial SSU rRNA". The stretch from base 1 to 524 matches the Rfam family "Bacterial small subunit ribosomal RNA", at positions 338 to 873 of the family's 1533-position model. The record is from RNAcentral.
CCUACGGGAGGCAGCAGUGGGGAAUAUUGCACAAUGGGCGCAAGCCUGAUGCAGCAACGCCGCGUGAGGGACGACGGCCUUCGGGUUGUAAACCUCUUUUAGUAGGGAAGAAGCGAAAGUGACGGUACCUGCAGAAAAAGCACCGGCUAACUACGUGCCAGCAGCCGCGGUAAUACGUAGGGUGCAAGCGUUAUCCGGAAUUAUUGGGCGUAAAGAGCUCGUAGGCGGUUUGUCGCGUCUGCUGUGAAAACUGGAGGCUCAACCUCCAGCCUGCAGUGGGUACGGGCAGACUAGAGUGCGGUAGGGGAGAUUGGAAUUCCUGGUGUAGCGGUGGAAUGCGCAGAUAUCAGGAGGAACACCGAUGGCGAAGGCAGAUCUCUGGGCCGUAACUGACGCUGAGGAGCGAAAGCAUGGGGAGCGAACAGGAUUAGAUACCCUGGUAGUCCAUGCCGUAAACGUUGGGAACUAGAUGUAGGGACCAUUCCACGGUUUCUGUGUCGCAGCUACGCAUAACGUUACCCGUCCGUCGGGAGGUACGGCCGCGACGACGUAAACGUACAAGAAGUAGUAGACGNGNGAGAGCGACGACGACGACGACGGAGGAGAGG